AGUGAACGCUGUCGGCGUGCCUAAUCCAUGCACUUCGAACGUAGUGGCGCCCGUGUGUGUAAUGUAUAGCUAAUCUUCCCUACACUAGCUGACAACAGUUUGAAACGACUUCUCAUACUCUAUAGUGUAGGAUGAGGCUAUGUUGUAUCAGCUAGUUGGUGAGGUAAUGGCCCACCAAGGCUAUGACGCAUAACUGGUCUGAGAUGAUGAGCAGUCAAACUGGAACUGAGACACGGUACAGACUCCGAAGGGAGGAAGGAGUAGGGAAGAUUGCUCAAUGGGGGAAAGCCUGAGGCAGCAACGCCGCGGGGAGGAGGAAACUGUUCGGAGCGUAAACUCCUAUUGUUAGGGAAGCGGAAACUAACUAAUAAGAACCGGCAAACUCAGUGCCAGCAGAAGCGGUAAUUC
Molecule: ribosomal RNA, 408 nt
Filed under: uncultured bacterium
Lineage: Bacteria
Description: partial 16S ribosomal RNA
Rfam family: Bacterial small subunit ribosomal RNA
Source: RNAcentral